UGAUUUCUCUGGAUUUCUUUUUAUCUCAGCUUAUAUAGUUGUGUAUAAUUAUGGUUCUGUAACACCUGACAAUAUGUUUUAACAUACUAUAUGUUAUAACAUUCUAUGUGACAUUCUCUGUUGGACUAAUAGACAUUUAUUUUGUCUCAUUGGUCUCUUUGGUCUAUUUUGACUAAAAAGGGGGAGAAGUAGUAGGUAAAGGAGAGCUGCAG
Molecule: long non-coding RNA, 212 nt
Filed under: Lathyrus oleraceus (garden pea)
Lineage: Eukaryota; Viridiplantae; Streptophyta; Magnoliopsida; Fabales; Fabaceae
Description: Pisum sativum (pea) long non-coding RNA (PSAT_LNC006850)
Source: RNAcentral